Molecule: unclassified non-coding RNA, 351 nt
Filed under: Gaertnera phyllosepala
Lineage: Eukaryota; Viridiplantae; Streptophyta; Magnoliopsida; Gentianales; Rubiaceae
Description: partial external transcribed spacer
Source: RNAcentral
GCUCCAGGGACUAGGGUCGCAGGCGCCAUCGCCAGUGCGACGCCCACGGUCGUUCGAACGUGGCGUGUGCCGCCAUUUCGUGGGCGAUCAGAGGCCGGGGGCCUCGUGCCCGCAACGUUUUCCGCAUCCCACAGAGAACGGGCGAGGACUCGUGCGCCACGGCACCCGACGCGAGGCGUGGGCAGCGUGGAGCACGGGAGCCGCCUUAAGGUUCACCCGAAGCCGCACCGUGCAAACGGGCAGCGCUAGCCGAACGGGACAACGAUAGGCCAACGAGAAUUCCGUUGGUGUAGGUACGCAACACAGGAAACCGACGGGCACGGCCAAGGCUAACAACGCUCUUGGGCCAAA